Mauremys mutica (yellowpond turtle) is the source of this 798-nucleotide long non-coding RNA. RefSeq lists it as uncharacterized. Lineage: Eukaryota; Metazoa; Chordata; Testudines; Geoemydidae. The record is from RefSeq and is a predicted model, not a curated record. The transcript is spliced from 3 exons.
AAUGAGUGUGUACAACUCACACACUCCCUCACUGGGCUACUGCAUCAAAACCAGGCCAGAAUUUCACCUCUGACGAGGAGUCAAGUUCCAGUUGUUGGGUGAAGUUUCCUUCUCUCUUCCGGUGUCAAGGAAUCACUUGGGAUGAAAUCAGAUAUGAAGGCAAAGACCAAAUUCAGGACCAGCUAAGGUAUGUUGUUAAAUCUGAGAAAUACCACAGCCUGAGGUUUGUCAUAGUUACCAAAGUAACUGUACUUCUAACUCCUUCAUGGCCUCCUGGAGGGCACCCCACUUAGGUGUCAGGCUUUUACCGCCACCCUUCUCAGUGUGAAAACUUCUGUUCCUCUCCCUCCAGAGAUGAGGGAUUCAGGCUUCAAUUUCCUCCUGAAAUUCACUGUGAUCACCUUAGCAAGCCUGAGUUUAGUUCAGCACCUGGCAUCCUGCUCUCCCAGGAACUGACAGAGAUACCAGUGACCAGCCUGCCUUCAGCCAGCAAGAAAUGUCUCAGGUUUAACAGCUUGCGGUUUAUUAGACUGAUGCCUUCCUGCAGUCGAGAGAGAGACUCUGCUUCAGUGAACUUAGAUCGAAGUCUUGAAGCAAAAAAAAAAUGAAGAAAAGGACAAGCACAAAGGAAAAAAAAAUAAAACUGAGACAAAAGGAAAACACAAACCUUCCUGCCCCCUUCCUGGGUUAAGCAGUUUUGGAAACAAAUGUUAAUGAAAAACAGUAAGUACGUCAUUGCUUAAGCAUUUACUUAAGGAACAUUGAAGAUAAUUGAUAGGAACUGAACCGUACAUUGUC